CCUACGGGUGGCUGCAGUGGGGAAUAUUGGACAAUGGGGGAAACCCUGAUCCAGCGACGCCGCGUGAGUGAAGAAGUGUUUCGGUAUGUAAAGCUCUAUCAGCAGGGACGAAAGAAAUGACGGUACCUGACUAAGAAGCCCCGGCUAACUACGUGCCAGCAGCCGCGGUAAUACGUAGGGGGCAAGCGUUAUCCGGAUUUACUGGGUGUAAAGGGUGAGUAGACGGCAUGGUAAGCCAGAUGUGAAAGCCUGGGGCUUAACCCCAGGAUUGCAUUGGAAACUAUAAAGCUAGAGUGCAGGAGAGGAAAGUGGAAUUCCUAGUGUAGCGGUGAAAUGCGUAGAUAUUAGGAGGAACACCAGUGGCGAAGGCGGCUUACUGGACUGAAACUGACGUUGAGGCACGAAAGCGUGGGGAGCGAACAGGAUUAGAUACCCUUGUAGUC
This 443-nucleotide ribosomal RNA is filed under the name uncultured bacterium. RNAcentral describes it as "partial 16S ribosomal RNA". It matches the Rfam family "Bacterial small subunit ribosomal RNA", at positions 338 to 795 of the family's 1533-position model. The record is from RNAcentral.